UACGGAGGGAGCGAGCGUUAAUCGGAAUUACUGGGAGUAAAGCGUCCGUAGGCGGCUUGUUAAGUCUGAUGUGAAAGCCCUGGGCUUAACCUGGGAACGGCAUUGGAUACUGGCGAGCUAGAGUUCGGUAGAGGGUGGUGGAAUUCCCGGUGUAGCGGUGAAAUGCGUAGAGAUCGGGAGGAACACCGGUGGCGAAGGCGGCCACCUGGCCCGAGACUGACGCUGAGGGACGAAAGCGUGGGGAGCAAACAGG
This 253-nucleotide ribosomal RNA is filed under the name uncultured bacterium. RNAcentral's name for it is "partial 16S ribosomal RNA". It matches the Rfam family "Bacterial small subunit ribosomal RNA", at positions 524 to 776 of the family's 1533-position model. The record is from RNAcentral.